Suricata suricatta (meerkat) is the source of this 675-nucleotide long non-coding RNA. RefSeq lists it as uncharacterized. The record is from RefSeq and is a predicted model, not a curated record. NCBI's taxonomy places the organism in Eukaryota, Metazoa, Chordata, Mammalia, Carnivora, Herpestidae. The transcript has 2 exons.
CUGAGAGCGCCCGGCGCUGCAGGCUCUGCCCAGGCUCCCUGCGGCCUUGCACUCAGGCCACAGGGUCCACCCACUGUUCCAGAACCAUCCAUCAGCAGGAGCCGUGGACAAGCAGCUUGGCUCUCAGGGGUCCAGAGCCCUCUUGUCCGUCUAGAGGCAGCUGACUGUCCCUGGCUCCAGGACUCCAGUCCAGAGGAGCGGUGUCAGGAGCCCCGAGAGGGUCUGGAACCACGGCGAGCUCCAAACGAGAAGCUCACGGACACCUCUGCCCAUGUUUCUAGAAUUUGCCAUCAGGCUAGUACCAGGCUGUCAGGUUUGUAAGACCUGCAACGUCACGAGGCUGGUCAGCGCCACUCAGUGGUUCUGGCCCCACCCCCCCCCAGCCAAGUUAAUCCAGAUCCAGCUGGCGCCGGGCGGUUCCAGAGGUCUCCCUCUGCCCAGGGCGGCAGAGGACGCGGCUUUCCGUGCUCGGAGACCUGGCCGGUCGGAGCCGAGGGAGGCCACGUCUCACACUCCUGGGACGCGCACCCCUGCGGACCACCCCGCCCGCCCCGCCAGAUGGUCUCUGCUGCAACUAGUCAACGCCUGGCCAUGGGAACGUGAAAGCCACCACAGACAAUCCGGAAGAACGGGCAUGGUUGUGUCUCAAUAAAACUUUAUUUGUGGAUGCUGAAA